Micropterus salmoides (largemouth bass) is the source of this 935-nucleotide long non-coding RNA. RefSeq lists it as uncharacterized. NCBI's taxonomy places the organism in Eukaryota, Metazoa, Chordata, Actinopteri, Centrarchiformes, Centrarchidae. The record is from RefSeq and is a predicted model, not a curated record. The transcript is spliced from 3 exons.
CAACAAUAUCUCUGCAGAAACUCUCUGCAGAAUCGCAAAUAUAAAUAUAUUCCAGGAAAGAUUUCUAAAUGGUAAUAUAAAAUUUGUCUGUAAUCAGCAGGCACUUGACUGUUAGAGGUAUGAAAGAUGUAGACUCUUAAAUUCCUGUGAGAGAUGCAUUUGUGAUGAAAAUACAAGGUACAUAAUGAAAGCUAACACUAAACUAAUUUUGGUUGUUGAUUCCCUCAUUUGCAUAUUAGUUCCAAGCUUUGCUUUGCUGUGUUCUGUGGCGGAACCUUCAACAUUAUGAUGGUGUUGAUGUCACAUAGUUCUACAUUCCGUGCAAUAUGAAUUUGAGGUGAGUUUGUGGAUUCUCCCUCAUUUGGUACCCAAAAGUUUAGCUAAACCCUCUGAAAAGACACAGUUGUUCACUUUUUCACUGUGUUCAACAAACCUGUUUAUUCAAAACUUUCAACUUGAAAUAACUCUCUUAAACAUGGACACCCACACAUUUUUGAGGAAGUCCAAGAAACGAGGCCCUCCUCUUUCUUUGAAGAAGAGCAACAUCGCUACAAAGCAGAAUUUAUGAUCAUGAAACAGCAGGAUCAAGUUCCUGAUUAUUUUUCUAGACCUAGCUGUUGACAGGAAGAAGCUUUCUGGAGAAAUUUCACGAAAUAACUGAGAGGACAGACAAAUGUGUCCGAGGAAAUACUUUCAGAUGAGGCUGUGUUGGACCUGCAUCUCUGGACUGUGAAACAUCUGUAAAUGUGGUUGGACGUGCUGCGGUGCUGCGGUAAGUGUAUUGACUCAUUUCCGUUUCUGUAUGGAAGAAAUAUAGUCCUAAAUGUAUUGUAGCUGUGUGAGAGAGUUUUGUAGUUUUGGAAAUGUUUUGUAUUUGUACAUUCAAAUGCUUGAAUGUGUGAAAAUGUUUUGUAGUUGUACAUUGAAAUGCUUGA